CGGCAACAGCUCAAAUUUGAAAUCUGCCCGCAAGGGCCGAGUUGUAAUUUGUAGAGGAUGCUUUGGCAUUGGCGGCGGUCUAAGUUCCUUGGAACAGGACAUCGCAGAGGGUGAGAAUCCCGUACGUGGGCGCCUGCCUUUGCCGUGUAAAGCUCCUUCGAC
Molecule: ribosomal RNA, 162 nt
Filed under: Pleosporales sp.
Lineage: Eukaryota; Fungi; Ascomycota; Dothideomycetes; Pleosporales
Description: partial large subunit ribosomal RNA
Rfam family: Eukaryotic large subunit ribosomal RNA
Source: RNAcentral